Molecule: small nucleolar RNA, 106 nt
Organism: Lathyrus oleraceus (garden pea)
Lineage: Eukaryota; Viridiplantae; Streptophyta; Magnoliopsida; Fabales; Fabaceae
Source: RefSeq, a predicted model, not a curated record
AUUCAAUGGUGUGGACAUUACGUUAGUAAUUCUUUAAAUCUUUCACAAGCAUCAAAUAAGGAUUCUUCAUCCCCUUGCUUAAAAUAUGUGAUUUCAUUCUCAUUUU